Molecule: ribosomal RNA, 771 nt
Filed under: uncultured bacterium
Lineage: Bacteria
Description: bacterial SSU rRNA
Rfam family: Bacterial small subunit ribosomal RNA
Source: RNAcentral
AGAGUUUGAUCCUGGCUCAGGACGAACGCUGGCGGCGUGCUUAACACAUGCAAGUCGAACGGAAAGGCCCUUCGGGGUACUCGAGUGGCGAACGGGUGAGUAACACGUGGGUGAUCUGCCCUGCACUUUGGGAUAAGCCUGGGAAACUGGGUCUAAUACCGAAUAUGACCAUGCACUUCCUGGUGUGUGGUGGAAAGCUUUUGCGGUGUGGGAUGGGCCCGCGGCCUAUCAGCUUGUUGGUGGGGUAAUGGCCUACCAAGGCGACGACGGGUAGCCGGCCUGAGAGGGUGACCGGCCACACUGGGACUGAGAUACGGCCCAGACUCCUACGGGAGGCAGCAGUGGGGAAUAUUGCACAAUGGGCGCAAGCCUGAUGCAGCGACGCCGCGUGAGGGAUGACGGCCUUCGGGUUGUAAACCUCUUUCAGCACAGACGAAGCGCAAGUGACGGUAUGUGCAGAAGAAGGACCGGCCAACUACGUGCCAGCAGCCGCGGUAAUACGUAGGGUCCGAGCGUUGUCCGGAAUUACUGGGCGUAAAGAGCUCGUAGGUGGUUUGUCGCGUUGUUCGUGAAAACUCACAGCUUAACUGUGGGCGUGCGGGCGAUACGGGCAGACUUGAGUACUGCAGGGGAGACUGGAAUUCCUGGUGUAGCGGUGGAAUGCGCAGAUAUCAGGAGGAACACCGGUGGCGAAGGCGGGUCUCUGGGCAGUGACUGACGCUGAGGAGCGAAAGCGUGGGGAGCGAACAGGAUUAGAUACCCUGGUAGUCC